Molecule: ribosomal RNA, 220 nt
Filed under: Salmonella enterica subsp. enterica serovar Muenchen
Lineage: Bacteria; Pseudomonadati; Pseudomonadota; Gammaproteobacteria; Enterobacterales; Enterobacteriaceae
Also listed under: 4 other names
Description: partial 23S ribosomal RNA
Rfam family: Bacterial large subunit ribosomal RNA
Source: RNAcentral
GGGUUGUGAGGUUAAGCGACUAAGCGUACACGGUGGAUGCCCUGGCAGUCAGAGGCGAUGAAGGGCGUGCUAAUCUGCGAUAAGCGCCGGUAAGGUGAUAUGAACCGUUAUAACCGGCGAUACCCGAAUGGGGAAACCCAGUGUGAUUCGUCACACUAUCAUUAACUGAAUCCAUAGGUUAAUGAGGCGAACCGGGGGAACUGAAACAUCUAAGUACCCC